UACGUAGGGGGCAAGCGUUGUCCGGAAUCAUUGGGCGUAAAGAGCGUGUAGGUGGUUCAGUAAGUCUGCUGUGAAAGUCCAGGGCUCAACCCUGGGAUGCCGGUGGAUACUGCUGAGCUAGAGUACGGAAGAGGCGAGUGGAAUUCCCGGUGUAGCGGUGAAAUGCGCAGAUAUCGGGAGGAACACCUAUUGCGAAGGCAGCUCGCUGGGACGUUACUGACACUGAGACGCGAAAGCGUGGGGAGCAAACAGG
Molecule: ribosomal RNA, 253 nt
Filed under: uncultured bacterium
Lineage: Bacteria
Description: partial 16S ribosomal RNA
Rfam family: Bacterial small subunit ribosomal RNA
Source: RNAcentral